GUGGGGAAUUUUGGACAAUGGGCGAAAGCCUGAUCCAGCCAUGCCGCGUGCAGGAUGAAGGCCUUCGGGUUGUAAACUGCUUUUGUACGGAACGAAAAGACUCUGGUUAAUACCUGGGGUCCAUGACGGUACCGUAAGAAUGAGCACCGGCUAACUACGUGCCAGCAGCCGCGGUAAUACGUAGGGUGCAAGCGUUAAUCGGAAUUACUGGGCGUAAAGCGUGCGCAGGCGGUUAUAUAAGACAGAUGUGAAAUCCCCGGGCUCAACCUGGGAACUGCAUUUGUGACUGUAUAGCUAGAGUACGGCAGAGGGGGAUGGAAUUCCGCGUGUAGCAGUGAAAUGCGUAGAUAUGCGGAGGAACACCGAUGGCGAAGGCAAUCCCCUGGGCCUGUACUGACGCUCAUGCACGAAAGCGUGGGGAGCAAACAGGAUUAGAAACCCCGGUAGUCC
This 450-nucleotide ribosomal RNA is filed under the name uncultured bacterium. Its description in RNAcentral is "partial 16S ribosomal RNA". It matches the Rfam family "Bacterial small subunit ribosomal RNA", at positions 354 to 796 of the family's 1533-position model. The record is from RNAcentral.